AGGACGAACGCUGGCGGCGUGCUUAACACAUGCAAGUCGAGCGGUAAGGCCUUUCGGGGUACACGAGCGGCGAACGGGUGAGUAACACGUGGGUGAUCUGCCCUGCACUCUGGGAUAAGCCUGGGAAACUGGGUCUAAUACCGGAUAUGACCUGCUCUCGCAGUGGGGGGUGGGUGGAAAGAUUUAUCGGUGCAGGAUGGGCCCGCGGCCUAUCAGUCUUGUUGGUGGGUAAUGGCCUACCAAGGCGACGACGGGUAGCCGACCUGAGAGGGUGACCGGCACGACUGGGACUGAGACACGGCCCAGACUCUACGGGAGCAGCAGUGGGAAUAUGCACAAGUGGGACGAAAGCCUGAUGCAGCGACGCCGCGUGAGGAUGA
RNAcentral lists this ribosomal RNA (380 nucleotides) under uncultured soil bacterium. RNAcentral describes it as "bacterial SSU rRNA". It matches the Rfam family "Bacterial small subunit ribosomal RNA", at positions 26 to 411 of the family's 1533-position model. The record is from RNAcentral.